RNAcentral lists this ribosomal RNA (253 nucleotides) under uncultured bacterium. RNAcentral describes it as "partial 16S ribosomal RNA". It matches the Rfam family "Bacterial small subunit ribosomal RNA", at positions 524 to 776 of the family's 1533-position model. The record is from RNAcentral.
UACGAAGGGGGCGAGCGUUGUUCGGAAUUACUGGGCGUAAAGGGCGCGUAGGCGGCACGGCAAGUCGGGAGUGAAAGCCCGGGGCUCAACCCCGGAGGGUCUUCCGAAACUGCCGAGCUAGAGUGCGGAAGAGGCAACCGGAAUUCCCAGUGUAGCGGUGAAAUGCGUAGAUAUCGAGAGGAACACCAGUGGCGAAGGCGAGUCCCUGGACAACUCCUGACACUGAGGCACGAAAGCUAGGGGAGCAAACAGG